This 743-nucleotide ribosomal RNA is filed under the name uncultured bacterium. Its description in RNAcentral is "bacterial SSU rRNA". It matches the Rfam family "Bacterial small subunit ribosomal RNA", at positions 49 to 805 of the family's 1533-position model. The record is from RNAcentral.
UAACACAUGCAAGUCGAACGAGAGAUGAGGAGCUUGCUCUUCAAAUCGAGUGGCGAACGGGUGAGUAACGCGUGAGGAACCUGCCUCAAAGAGGGGGACAACAGUUGGAAACGACUGCUAAUACCGCAUAAGCCCACGGCUCGGCAUCGAGCAGAGGGAAAAGGAGCAAUCCGCUUUGAGAUGGCCUCGCGUCCGAUUAGCUAGUUGGUGAGGUAAUGGCCCACCAAGGCGACGAUCGGUAGCCGGACUGAGAGGUUGAACGGCCACAUUGGGACUGAGACACGGCCCAGACUCCUACGGGAGGCAGCAGUGGGGAAUAUUGCACAAUGGGGGAAACCCUGAUGCAGCGACGCCGCGUGGAGGAAGAAGGUCUUCGGAUUGUAAACUCCUGUUGUUGAGGAAGAUAACGACGGUACUCAACAAGGAAGUGACGGCUAACUACGUGCCAGCAGCCGCGGUAAAACGUAGGUCACAAGCGUUGUCCGGAAUUACUGGGUGUAAAGGGAGCGCAGGCGGGAGAACAAGUUGGAAGUGAAAUCCAUGGGCUCAACCCAUGAACUGCUUUCAAAACUGUUUUUCUUGAGUAGUGCAGAGGUAGGCGGAAUUCCCGGUGUAGCGGUGGAAUGCGUAGAUAUCGGGAGGAACACCAGUGGCGAAGGCGGCCUACUGGGCACCAACUGACGCUGAGGCUCGAAAGUGUGGGUAGCAAACAGGAUUAGAUACCCUGGUAGUCCACACCGUAA